GGAGGGAUGCGAGAGUGGUUGAAUCGGGCGGUCUCGAAAAUCGUUAUACCGUAAGGUAUCGGGGGUUCGAAUCCCCCUCUCUCCG
This 85-nucleotide transfer RNA is filed under the name Spirochaetaceae bacterium. RNAcentral describes it as "tRNA-Ser". It matches the Rfam family "tRNA". From Rfam's summary of the family: Transfer RNA (tRNA) molecules are approximately 80 nucleotides in length. RNAcentral also lists the same sequence under 1 other name. The record is from RNAcentral. Lineage: Bacteria; Pseudomonadati; Spirochaetota; Spirochaetia; Spirochaetales; Spirochaetaceae.